AUUGAACGCUGGCGGCGUGCUUAACACAUGCAAGUCGAUCGGUAACAGGUGUAGCAAUACAUGCUGACGAGAGGCGGACGGGUGAGUAAUGCUUGGGAAUCUGCCUAUUAGUGGGGGACAACCCGGGAAACGUCGGGCUAAUACCGCAUACGCUCUACGGAGGAAAGCCGGGACCGCAAGGCCUGCGCUAAUAGAUGAGCCCAAGUCGGAUUAGCUAGUUGGUAGGGUAACGGCCUACCAAGGCGACAAUCCGUAGCUGGUCUGAGAGGACGACCAGCCACACCGGAACUGAGACACGGUCCGGACUCCUACGGGAGGCAGCAGUGGGGAAUAUUGGACAAUGGGGGCAACCCUGAUCCAGCGACGCCGCGUGGGUGAAGAAGGCCUGCGGGUUGUAAAGCCC
RNAcentral lists this ribosomal RNA (403 nucleotides) under uncultured bacterium. RNAcentral's name for it is "bacterial SSU rRNA". It matches the Rfam family "Bacterial small subunit ribosomal RNA", at positions 29 to 433 of the family's 1533-position model. The record is from RNAcentral.